AGAGUUUGAUCCUGGCUCAGAACGAACGUUAGCGGCGCGCCUAACACAUGCAAGUCGAGCGAGAAAGGGGCUUCGGCCCCCGGUAAAGCGGCGCACGGGUGAGUAACACGUGGGUAACGUACCCCUAGGUGGGGGAUAACGUCCCGAAAGGGACGCUAAUACCGCAUAAGACCACGUCCCGAAAUGGAUGAGGUCAAAGCAAGCCUCUGUACACAAGCUUGCGCCAAGGGAUCGGCCCGCGGCCCAUCAGGUAGUUGGCAGGGUAAUGGCCUACCAAGCCUAAGACGGGUAGCUGGUCUGAGAGGAUGAUCAGCCACACUGGAACUGAGACACGGUCCAGACUCCUACGGGAGGCAGCAGUGGGGAAUCUUGCGCAAUGGGCGAAAGCCUGACGCAGCGACGCCGCGUGAGCGAUGAAGGCCUUAGGGUUGUAAAGCUCUGUGGAGAGGGACGAAUUAGUCGGCGCGAACAGCUCCGAUGAUGACGGUACCUCUUUAGCAAGCACCGGCUAACUCUGUGCCAGCAGCCGCGGUAAGACAGAGGGUGCAAACGUUGUUCGGAAUUACUGGGCGUAAAGCGCAUGUA
This 585-nucleotide ribosomal RNA is filed under the name uncultured bacterium. Its description in RNAcentral is "bacterial SSU rRNA". It matches the Rfam family "Bacterial small subunit ribosomal RNA", at positions 8 to 573 of the family's 1533-position model. The record is from RNAcentral.